GAUGAACGCUGGCGGCGUGCCUAAUACAUGCAAGUCGAGCGAACAGACGAGGAGCUUGCUCCUCUGACGUUAGCGGCGGACGGGUGAGUAACACGUGGAUAACCUACCUAUAAGACUGGGAUAACUUCGGGAAACCGGAGCUAAUACCGGAUAAUAUAUUGAACCGCAUGGUUCAAUAGUGAAAGACGGUUUUGCUGUCACUUAUAGAUGGAUCCGCGCCGCAUUAGCUAGUUGGUAAGGUAACGGCUUACCAAGGCAACGAUGCGUAGCCGACCUGAGAGGGUGAUCGGCCACACUGCAACUGAGACACGGUCCAGACUCCUACGGGAGGCAGCAGUAGGGAAUCUUCCGCAAUGGGCGAAAGCCUGACGGAGCAACGCCGCGUGAGUGAUGAAGGUCUUCGGAUCGUAAAACUCUAUUAUUAGGGAAGAACAAAUGUGUAAGUAACUAUGCACGUCUUGACGGUACCUAAUCAGAAAGCCACGGCUAACUACGUG
RNAcentral lists this ribosomal RNA (497 nucleotides) under uncultured bacterium. RNAcentral's name for it is "partial 16S ribosomal RNA". It matches the Rfam family "Bacterial small subunit ribosomal RNA", at positions 28 to 507 of the family's 1533-position model. The record is from RNAcentral.